This 1481-nucleotide ribosomal RNA is filed under the name uncultured bacterium. RNAcentral's name for it is "bacterial SSU rRNA". It matches the Rfam family "Bacterial small subunit ribosomal RNA". The record is from RNAcentral.
GAGUUUGAUCCUGGCUCAGGACGAACGCUGGCGGCGUGCCUAACACAUGCAAGUCGAACGGAGUAUAUUUUCUAGCUUGCUGGCAGAUAUACUUAGUGGCGCACGGGUGAGUAACACGUGGGCAAUCUACCCGGAAGACUGGGAUAACAGUGCGAAAGUGCUGCUAAUACCGGAUAUUUUCACGAAGUCGCAUGACUUUGUGCAGAAAGUUUUUCGCUUCCGGAUGAGCCCGCGUCCCAUUAGCUAGUUGGUGAGGUAACGGCUCACAAAGGCGACGAUGGGUAGCUGGUCUGAGAGGACGAUCAGCCACACUGGAACUGAGACACGGUCCAGACUCCUACGGGAGGCAGCAGUGGGGAAUCUUGCGCAAUGGGCGGAAGCCUGACGCAGCAAUGCCGCGUGAACGAUAAAGGCCUUCGGGUCGUAAAGUUCUGUCAAGGGGGACGAUAAUGACGGUACCCCUGGAGGAAGCCCCGGCUAACUACGUGCCAGCAGCCGCGGUAAUACGUAGGGGGCGAGCGUUGUCCGGAAUUAUUGGGCGUAAAGGGCGUGUAGGCGGCCGAUCAAGUCAGGUGUGAAAUUCCAGGGCCCAACCCUGGACGUGCACAUGAAACUGGUUGGCUUGAGUGCAGAAGAGGAAAGUGGAAUUCCCAGUGUAGCGGUGAAAUGCGUAGAUAUUGGGAGGAACACCAGUGGCGAAGGCGACUUUCUGGUCUGUAACUGACGCUGAGGCGCGAAAGCUAGGGGAGCAAACAGGAUUAGAUACCCUGGUAGUCCUAGCCGUAAACGAUGGGUACUAGGUGUAGGGGGUUUAGACGCCCUCUGUGCCGCAGUUAACACAUUAAGUACCCCGCCUGGGGAGUACGGCCGCAAGGCUGAAACUCAAAGGAAUUGACGGGGGCCCGCACAAGCGGUGGAGCAUGUGGUUUAAUUCGAUGCAACGCGAAGAACCUUACCAGGGUUUGACAUGCCGGUGGUACGGAGUGGAAACACGAAGGACCUUUCGGGGAGCCGGCACAGAUGGUGCAUGGUUGUCGUCAGCUCGUGCCGUGAGGUGUUGGGUUAAGUCCCGCAACGAGCGCAACCCUUGCUUCUAGUUGCCAGCGGGUAGUGCCGGGCACUCUAGAGGGACUGCCGUCGACAAGGCGGAGGAAGGUGGGGAUGACGUCAAAUCAUCAUGCCCUUUAUAUCCUGGGCUACACACGUGCUACAAUGGCCGGUACAACGGGAGGCUAAGGCGUGAGCCGGAGCAAAUCCCAAAAAGCCGGUCCAAGUUCGGAUUGCAGGCUGCAACUCGCCUGCAUGAAGUCGGAAUCGCUAGUAAUCGCAGGUCAGCAUACUGCGGUGAAUGCGUUCCCGGGCCUUGUACACACCGCCCGUCACACCACGAAAGUCGGCAACACCCGAAGUCGGUGACCCAACCUGUGAGGGAGGGAGCCGCCUAAGGUGGGGUCGGUGAUUGGGGUGAAGUCGUAACAAGG